UUGAGUAUCAUCCAAGACACUUUGUGGGUUCUAUUUAGAUGAUCAGUCAACACAAGGGAAUGGCUUGAGAUACUUCCAACAGGUUCAAAUGGGGUCUAUUCGUCAGUCAAAACGUUAAUCGUGAAGGAGCAAAAGUUUGUUCAUGAACUGUCAUGCUCGCUAGGCGAAGCCCACGUGUUUAAAAAAAAAACGAAAAAAAACGAAAACGAAAAUAAAAUAAAAUAAAUAAAUAAAUAAAUAAAUAAAAUAUAAC
This 253-nucleotide long non-coding RNA is filed under the name Lathyrus oleraceus (garden pea). RNAcentral's name for it is "Pisum sativum (pea) long non-coding RNA (PSAT_LNC027376)". Lineage: Eukaryota; Viridiplantae; Streptophyta; Magnoliopsida; Fabales; Fabaceae. The record is from RNAcentral.